Molecule: long non-coding RNA, 7990 nt
Filed under: Phaseolus vulgaris (common bean)
Lineage: Eukaryota; Viridiplantae; Streptophyta; Magnoliopsida; Fabales; Fabaceae
Description: long non-coding RNA (PVUL_LNC002746)
Source: RNAcentral
CUUUCCCAAUCCUUCUCCUCUCUUCUUCAUUCAUCUACUCAUGCUUCAAUUCUUGAAUUUAAUCAACCAACAGAACAGAAUUAGAAACAACAAAAAGCGUUUUAUCGAUAUUACUCAGUUUAUUUUUAAGUCCACACUAUAGAAACUCGAACAACUUAAUAUAUCAUUUUGUGUGCAUUAAUUUCUUGUAUACAUUUUUCCUCGCCAAUUAUUACUGUAAAGAUUGGUAGAGUUGACUUACAUCAAGCUGGCGUACCACCAGCCCAAGAACUAGGCUAGAUUUUGGGAACAGUUUUUUUGGAUCAUAUAAAAUUUAGGAUUAUUUAUGUUUAUUUGAAUUUAGAAUUUCCAUUGUGCUUGCAUUUUUGCUUUUGUCUUCCAAAUUUUAACUGUUAUUGUUUUGUUUAUAUGACUGUAAGUUGUGACUGUUUUGUGUGUGUUGAUUGACAACCUUGGUUAGCAUUUACAUUUUGUUGAAGAUCCCAUUUCGAUUCAUUGGUUAUGGCACCCACAAAUAUCUAAUCCCGAACACGUUCGAGAUGUUUAUUUCUCGGUGUGAGGGUUGUGUUCCAUAUUUACAUGAGUGACCAAAUUAUAAUAUGCAAGUGGAACUCGAACCUAGAGGUUGAGUUAGGCAUAAAAUAAAACCACUUUCUAUGACAUUUGUUGGCAUACUGCUUUAGUGUUACACGGACAGAUUUCUAAAACUGAAAUUAGUGAUUAGAUUUCAGCUUAUCGCUCGUUUGUGUUACUGUUGAAACUGGUGUAGAUUCUGAUGCAAGUUCAAUGCAUAAGCAACAGGAGUCUUCCGGAAAUGUAAGUUGGGGCCAGUGAAUGGUAACACAAAUAUGCACGUAUUCUUUGACACUUUACUAGUGUAAAGUGGUUUAAGAUUUUUAUACCACUCAUUUUUUGUUGAAGAUUUGAAAACUUAUCUUAAGGCAUUAACAGAAAUAAAAUCAUGCUUGUAACUGGAGGUUUUGAACUUUUACUUUGAAGCUGUUCUGCUUAAAGUACGGCCCCUUUCUUCUGGUAUAUAGAUGUUGAUUUUUCGAAACCCAUUCAGAUCCUUCUCAGCUAGUUAAAGAAUGGGACAAUAAGAAGGAAAAAAGAAAAAACACAAAAGUGGUGUGUAUUAGCAUUUGGUGAUUUGUUUUAUGUUCCAAGCAGACAGUAUCUUUACUCUUCCCUUCCCUUUGAUAGCCUUCAAAGUCUAUAACGAUUAGUAUAGAAUUUUAUAUUAUGACUUUAAGCAUUGUCCACUUGAUGAUUGCUUUAAGCUGGUUUAAGUUCACAAUAUUUGAAUUUAUCAAAAUAAAAGCUAAAUAGCUUGAACAUAUAGAUAGGGAUAGCUAUGUGUAUAUAUUUUUAGUGAUAUUUUCAUAUUGUAUGUAAUGUAUUCAAUUUUAAGCUGUGUUUGGAUGGGUGAAGCAAAAUGAAAUAAGAUAUUCAACCAAUUUUGAGAUUGUUAGGGAUGGGAACCAAAAUUGCCUUACCGUUUUAUUACUCAUAAUUUCCGUACUCUCUAAUGUAGAGGUUUCUAAGAGGGUAUAAUUUGAGGUUAGUCUUCAAUAAUUUCAACCCAACACCUUAACCUUUUUGCUAUAAGUAAACAUAUCAAAAGGACAAUUCUAGAAGGAGAAUUUGUAAUAUAUUGACUUGGGUAAUUAUUAUUUUUACUUUCAAACAAAGGAAAGGGGAUCCCCACCAUCAUUCAUUAAAAGUUUCAAAUAAUAGAGUGGUACCAUUUCAUCCAAUUCCAACAGAUUCCACUUAAUCCUCUUCAAAAUUUACAAAUGUAGCUGUAUGCUUUGCUUUUCUAGUUCAUCAAGCACCUUACAAUGAAAAAUCACUUUGAUUUUCUUGAUAGAAUGUGUUUCACAUUUGGAAUUUGUUAAAGUUACUGGUGUCUGUUUUUCAAGAGAUUUACAGUGCAUACAUCAGUUCUGCUGAUUUUUUAAUUUGAUUCUUUUCUAUUGAGUAUUGAUUCUGCUGAUUUUAACCAUCAUACAUUAUAUCUCCAGUGGAAUGCUAGUCCAGGAUCCUUCAAAGGGAAAUGACGUGGAUGCAAUUUUUCAUCAAGCCAGGCAACUUGGUGCUGUUGAGAGGCCUCUUGAUCAGCUUCAGGAGCCUCCAAGGUCAACUAGCUUUACUGGAACUGGCAGGUUACUCUCGGGGGAAACUGCACAAUCUACUACUAAUCAGCAACCUGAGGCUGUUGUUCACAACAUUGUUUUCUGGAGUAAUGGUUUUACUGUAAAUGAUGGACCUUUGAGGAGAUUGGAUGAUCCUGAAAAUGCCUCAUUUCUAGAGGUGAUGCUAUUUAAGAUUCUGAUUCCAUUAGUGGCAAAAUAAUUCAGAAAUAUAUAUUAAGGUAGUGUUCCAGGAAAGGCAAAUCCUGAUUUUGGAGGAUUGAGUUUUUGGUGAGCAUUUUUCAGGAAAUAGGGUAAUAUCUUAACAAAUUCCACUUACAUUGUGGUGAAAAUUAUUUAAAUUCUUUCUGAAAUUCAGUAUAUUUUAUUAUAUAAGUAUUUUGUCAGUUGCUUUCAUAAUUUAUUUCCAGACUGUGUAAGAACGGUGCCCCAGAAAUGGUUUUGUUGUGCUUAAUGAUAUUUGCUUCUUUUUAAUGCAGAGCAUAAAAAAAUCCGAGUGUCCCAAAGAGCUUGAACCUGCAGAUAGGAGGUCAUCUGUUAACGUCAACCUCAUAAGGAGGAAUGAGAACUAUCCUGUGAGGUUUCUAUCUGAGUUUUUUCAUUUAUCUCUGUCCGAUUUAUGUUAAACCGCACUGUAUUUUGUUGACAUUGUUUACUAGUUUUGGAGCUUUUUAACUCUGACAUUUUGAAAUGCAAUACGGGUCUUUUGUUAUGCAUAAUUUCUUGAGUCUGAAAUCAAACACGCCCAGUGUGUAAAUUAUAAGUGCAUUUGGUCAUUGCUUACAGGAACCCGAAAGGCAGCAUGUUCCAUUUCAGGGAGUGGGGAGAACACUUGGAAGCAGCUCUACAUCAGUGGCUCCUGACCCAACUACUGCCUUAACACCUCCAACCACGGCUCCAACUCCUUCUGCAGGCCUGGUUGUUGAUCAAUCACUGCCAUCAACCUCAAUACAAGUCAGGUUGGCUGAUGGAACCCGCUUGAUAUCACAUUUUAAUCAUCACCACGUGAUCAGUGACAUCCGUGCCUUCAUUGAUGCAUCUCGACCUGGUGGUCGGCAAAAUUAUCAACUUCAGAUGAUGGGUUUCCCCCCAAAGGUUCUAACCGAUGAAACUCAGAACAUAGAGCAGGCAGGACUUGCAAAUUCAGUUGUCAUACAGAAAUUCUAGCAGACUGCUGUUUCAUAUUGGCUCUUACCGGUUAAUUGCUGCAUUGAAAGGAUGCAGUUUUAUUGGGGGAUUGUAGAGGUGAGGUACUUUUAUUUCCAUAAAGUCAAAAACAUAUAGAACUGCCCUACUGUUGGGGGAACAUUUUCUUUUUGUUGCUCAAUGUUUACCAAGUAAUCUUAUUUGCUUUUUUUGUUUUGGACCUAAUUCUCUAUGCUAUGAUGAUUGUGGCGUGUCCUCUUUCUGGGCCUAGUGACUGAACUCGAGAUUAUAUUGAAAGACUUCACUGAAAUAUAUCGUAACCCCCGAAAGCAGUUUUUGAAAAUGUCGUAACGACUACCAUCUCUGUUUAUAUUAUAUUAUAUUUCUUCUGAAGCUAACAAACAGGUGUGGUUAUCUUACUAGAAAUUUGGAAAGAUUUUUAAAAUGUGGUUUUAAUUCUAAAUUGUGUAAACACUAAACCUAAAGGUGGAUGGAUAUAUAUAAUUGCACAAUAAUUUUUUUUUCAAUUGUUAAUAAUGUAUAUAAAUUUGUUAACGUUUUAAAAAUAACUUUGUUCCAAGUUUACCAACAAAAAUUUUAUAAAAAAUAUAAAAUUAUUUAAUCAUUACAUAUUCAUUGAAGUUUUUCUAUAUUUAUAUUAGUGCAUAUAAUUCAAUUUGAAUUAGAUUAUAUCAUAUUUAUAAAAUCAAAUUCAUAAAUCAAUUCAAUCAAACAAAGAAAAGUUCAAUUAUUUGUUCCAAGUUUACCAAUAAAAGAUUUAUAAAAAAUAUAAAAUUAUUUAAUCAUUACAUAUUCAUUGAAGUUUUUCUAUAUUUAUAUUAGUGCAUAUAAUUCAAUUUGAAUUAGAUUAUAUCAUAUUUAUAAAAUCAAAUUCAUAAAGAAAUGUUCAAUCAAUUACAUUAUAUUUAAAAAUGAUUUAUACUGUAAGAAAAAAUUCGUUACAGUACUCAUAAUUAAAAAGGUUUACAGUGAGUACUAACGAAUUAUAGUCUGAUUAAUAAUCAAUAGAUUAGAAAAUACAAAUAUAUUGAUGAUAUAAAAUGUUAUAUUUUUUCAUACAAAAAAUUACUUUUAAUUGACAUUUAAAACAGUUGUGAGCAAAAUAGAAUUACAUUUCUGCCUUGGGCUAUCUUAAAAGUCAGGGAUCAGAACUACUUGGCAGCAACGCAAAGACAAAGCUUUGUGUGUAUAACAUGCCUCAGUCUCAGUCUUCGUCUUAGAGCCACACCAUAUACUCCCAGAAACACACACACACACUCUCUCCCUUGCGAUUCGUUGUGUGAAAUAUUUGUAGGCAUGGCGUCACGGGACCACAAAAAGGCAUCGAGCAGCCGAACAGGCAGAAUUCGCACUCUCUCCGAUCUGAACCGUCCCUCUGCCGAUUCCGACAGCGACUCCGAUGGUCCUCAGGAGUACUACACCGGCGGGGAGAAGAGGUUCUCUUCUUUCCCGAUCCUUCUCCUCCUUUCUUCGUUCAUUAGCCUAACCCUCAAUUCUUGCAUUCUAUCACACCAACACAACAAAACUAAAAACUAUUAAUAAAGUUUUAUCGAUAUCACUAGCUUUAAUGUUAAGUCCCCAUCUUAGAAACUCUAGAAACUUCUUAAUAUCGCACUCUAUGUAUAAUAUAUUCCCUUACCGAUUAUUACUGUAAGAAUUAUUAGAGUUGACUUACAACAAGCUGGCGUAUUUCCAGUCAAUCAACUAGGUUAGAUUUUCGGAACAUUUUUUUAAUCGUGCAUGAUUGAAAUCAGAGUUGCAAUUUUUUCUGAUAUGUUUCGUUUUGUCUUCUGAAUUCUAAUGCGAUGGUUUGGCGAUGUUAUUGGUUGCCUUAGCUUGGUAUGAUUAUAGAUUGUGACUUUUUUUGUUUGUGUUGAUUGAUGAGUUUCUUCCCCGUUUCUCUUGUUUGGGUUAACUUCAUUGAUCGCAUACUGCUUUGAUAUUAAAGAGGAAGAUUUCUCUAACAGGAUUUAGUGAUUAGGUUUCAGCUCAGCACAUGUUUGUGUUACUUUUGAAAAUGCGGGUCAUUCUAAUUUAGGUUCCAUGUGUGUUUAGUUUGGUGUUUUGUAUUCUUGGAACCACGUUUGGGAUGUAAAAAAUGGAAUUUAUUCAAAGUAAUUUUCGUUUUGAAUAUGAAUCAUGGAUCCACUUUUGACUUAAUCCGAACCUGACGUGAAACCAUAAGUGCACUCAAUACAUAAGUAAUGAUAGGGGUUUUUAGGAAGUUAGAGGCCAGUGAAUGGUAAAAAACAGACAUGCAUUUAUUCUUUUGCCCUUUUACCAGUAUAAAGUGGUUUCAGAUUUUUGUAUAACUCAUUUGGGUGAAGCAUUUGGAAAACUUAUCUUAAGGCAUGAAUAAAAGCAAUAAAUCAUGCUUUUAGUGAGAGGUUUGUAACCUUUACAUUGAAGUUAUUUUGCUUAAAUUUGGGUUACUUUUUCUGGUAUAGGUUUUGGGCUUUUGAAAACCAUUCAGAUUCAUCUUAGCCAGUAAAAGAAUGGGGCAAGAAAAUGAAAAAAAAAAUCUGAUUUGUUUUAUCAUUUGGUGAUUUUUUUUUCCAAACAGGAAAUAUCUUUACUCUUCCCAGGUUUUAUGGCAAUGCUUCUGCAUUUUGAUAGCCUUUGAAGUCUAUAAUGAUUUGUUUAAACUUUAUAUCAUAACUUCUAGUGUUUCCAUGUGAUGAUUGCUAUCAAAUUAUAUAGCUUAGUAGCUUGAAAAUAUAGAUAGGGAUAGCUAUAUUUUUAGUAAUAUUGUUUUAUAGUAUGUAUUUUAUAUAUAUAUAUAUAUAUAUAUAUAUAUAUAUAUAUUCGCAUUUAAGCUGUGUUUGAAUGGAUAAUCAACCCAUUUUUAGAGUUUUUAAGGUAAUGAAGUGGAAUGGUUUAGGAUGGGAACCCAAACUACCUUACCACUCUUAACUUUCAAAUUUCCCUACUCUCUCAUUUAGAGGGUUUUGGAUGGAAUACUACUUUUUAUAUUUGGAGGCAGUUAUCCAUAAUUGUAAUUUACUCCACUCAAGUAAUUAUCACCUUUACUUCCAAACAAAGGUAAGGGGAUCCCCACCAUACCCUCAUUAAAAAAUUUCAAAUAGAGUGGUACCUUACAAAUAGAGUGCUUCAUCCUCUUCAAUAUUUCCAAACAUAGCUGUAAACUUAACUUCACCUGUAUGCUUCUAUAACCUCAAGCACCUUACAGACAGAAAUCACUUUUGACUACCUUCGUUGAAAGUGUGACAUUUGGAUAUUAAAAUUACCGCUUUCACAAUUUUCUGAAACAUUUAUUGAUGCACACAUCUGUCAUUUGAUUUUAUGAAAAAUUUCUACAAAGUAUUUAACCAUUCUGCAUUAUAUCUCCAGUGGAAUGCUUGUCCAGGAUCCUUCAAAGGGAAAUGACGUGGAUGCAAUUUUCAAUCAAGCUAGGCAACUGGGCGCUGUUGAAAGGCCUCUUGAUCAGCUUCAGGAGCCCCCAAGGUCAACUAGCUUUGCUGGAACUGGCAGGUUACUCUCAGGGGAAACUGCUGCACAGUCUACUACUAAUCAGCAACCCGAGUCUGUUGUUCACAACAUUGUUUUCUGGAGUAAUGGUUUCACUGUAAAUGAUGGACCUUUGAGGAGAUUGGAAGACCCUGAAAAUGCCUCAUUUUUAGAGGUGAUGGUAUUUAGGAUUCUGAUUCCUUCAUGGGUUGAGGGUAAAAUGAUUUGGAAGUAAUGAGGUUGUGUUCCAGAAAAUGCAAAUUCUGAUGUUAGAGGAUUUAGAUUUUGGUGGAUAAUGUUCAGGAAAUAAUGAAACACCGUAACAAAUUUCUCAUACAAUUCACCUUUUUAUUUUCAUUUUCAGAAAUCAAGCAUAUUUUAAGUAUUCUAUCAGUUGCUUUCAUAAUUUAAUGGCCAUGUAAGAAUGCUACCGCAGAGACAUGUUUGGGUUACUAUUACUUUCUUACUGGUUACAUAAAAUGGUUUCUUUGUGCUUAAUGAUAUUUGCUAUUUUCAAUGCAGAGCAUAAAAAAAUCUGAGUGUCCCAAAGAGCUUGAACCUGCAGAUAGGAGGUCAUCUGUUAAUGUUAACCUCAUAAGGAGGAACGAGAACUAUCCUGUAAGUUUCCUGUUAGUUUUUGUCCAAUUUACUAUUAAACCACAAUGAAUUUACUCUUGGAGCUUUUGAACUUCUGCAUUUUGAAAAGCAAUGCAAUCUUGUUGUACAUAAUUACUGGCUUCUGAAAUCGAACAUGCCCAUUGUGUAAAUUAUAAGUAACUUGGUUAUGCUUACAGGAACCCGUAAAGCAGUCUGUUCCCUUUCAGGGAGUGGGAAGAACUCUUGGAAGCAGCUCUACAUCAGUGGCUCCUGACCCAACUGCUGCCUUAACACCUCCAACCACAGCGCCAACUCCUUCUGCAGGCCUGGUUGUUGAUCAAUCACUGCCAUCAACCUCAAUACAAGUCAGGCUGGCUGAUGGAACCCGCUUGAUAUCACAUUUUAAUCUUCACCACGUGAUCAGUGACAUUCGUGCCUUCAUUGAUGCAUCUCGACCUGGUGGUCGGCAGAAUUAUCAACUUCAGAUGAUGGGUUUCCCUCCAAAGGUUCUAACUGAUGAAACUAAGACCAUAGAACAGGCUGGACUGGCAAAUUCAGUUGUCAUACAGAAAUUCUAGCAGACUGCUUUUUCAUGGUAUUAGUCU